Non-coding RNA from Meloidogyne hapla, 72 nucleotides. Lineage: Eukaryota; Metazoa; Nematoda; Chromadorea; Rhabditida; Meloidogynidae. The record is from Rfam.
UCCCAGUUAGUAUAGUGGUUAGUAUCCGCGCCUGUCACGUGCGAGACCCGGGUUCGAUUCCCGGACUGGGAG